UUCUGCCGGGUUUCUCCCUGCGGCUCCUGGGUUGUUGAGACUCUUGUGAAGAUGGCUUGCGCUGCCGCGCGGUCCCCGGCCGACCAGGACAGGUUUAUUUGUAUCUAUCCUGCUUAUUUAAAUAAUAAGAAGACCAUCGCAGAGGGAAGGCGAAUCCCCAUAAGUAAGGCUGUUGAAAAUCCUACAGCUACAGAGAUUCAAGAUGUAUGUUCAGCAGUUGGACUUAACGUAUUUCUUGAGGUAUGACGUGGUUCUUCACUAUUUUCCAUACUCAUCUAAUUGAUGUAAUAACUUUCUUAAGUCCUGUUUUUCUUUUGUUUCGUUUAUGUUAGAAAAAUAAAAUGUACUCUAGAGAAUGGAAUCGUGAUGUCCAAUACAGAGGCAGAGUCCGGGUCCAGCUCAAACAGGAAGAUGGGAGCCUCUGCCUUGUACAGUUCCCAUCACAUUAUACACUAAGCCUAACUUCUGGUUCCUAGGUAAGUCAGUAAUGUUGUAUGCAGCAGAAAUGAUACCUAAACUAAAAACAAGGACACAAAAAACAGGAGGUGCUGACCAAAGUCUUCAACAAGGAGAGGGAAGUAAAAAAGGGAAAGGAAAGAAAAAGAAGUAACCUAGUAUCAGCAUCAAGUAUGUGGUACUACUGUAAGAGACAUGAAUGGAGACUUCUAAUUUGUAUCGGAGGGAAACAGAAGCUUUUUGUUUGCAUCAUUUAACUGAACUGUGAACCCUUGUGCCUCUCAUCUUUAUCAUCGGAGUUGACAGUGAAACAAAUUUACAUCAGAAGUUUGCAUCUCGCG
RNAcentral lists this long non-coding RNA (797 nucleotides) under Homo sapiens (human). RNAcentral describes it as "HSALNT0092901". The record is from RNAcentral. Lineage: Eukaryota; Metazoa; Chordata; Mammalia; Primates; Hominidae.